GAUGAACGCUGGCGGCGUGCCUAACACAUGCAAGUCGAGCGGACAGACGAGACUUCUUGCUGUCUCUGGCGUUGGCGGCGGGCGGGUGAGUAACGCGUCGGCAACCUACCUAUAAGACACGUCUAACAUCGGGAAACCAUACCUCAUACCUGAUGAUAUUGAGCUUCGGAGGACGUAGGAGCUAAAGACGGUUCUGGAGUCUAGUACGGAUUGACCCGCUGGGUAUUAGCUAGUUGGUGGGGUAACGGCUCACCAAGGCGACGGUACGUAGGCGACCUGAGAGGAGGAUCGGCCACACUGGAACUGAGACACGGACCAGACUCCUACGGGAGGCAGCAGUGGGGAAUCUUCGGCAAUGGACGAAAGUCUGACGCAGCCAUGCCGCGUGUGUGAAGAAGGUCUUCGGAUCGUAAAACUCUGUUGUAAGGGAAGAACGGCUGCGUGAGUAACUGAAGCUAGCUUGACGGUACCUGAACAGAAAGCCACGGCUAACUACGUG
This 499-nucleotide ribosomal RNA is filed under the name uncultured bacterium. RNAcentral describes it as "partial 16S ribosomal RNA". It matches the Rfam family "Bacterial small subunit ribosomal RNA", at positions 28 to 507 of the family's 1533-position model. The record is from RNAcentral.